CACGUAGGGGGCCAGCGUUGUCCGGAAUUACUGGGCGUAAAGCGCGCGCAGGCGGUCUAGUAAGCAGCGGGUGAAAUACCGAGGCUCAACUUCGGUGCUGCUUGCUGAACUGCUAGACUAGAGUUCGGGAGAGGGCAGUGGAAUUCCUGGUGUAGCGGUGGAAUGCGUAAAUAUCAGGAAGAACACCCGUGGCGAAGGCUGCUGCCUGGAACGAUACUGACGCUGAGGCGCGAAAGCUAGGGGAGCGAACGGG
Molecule: ribosomal RNA, 253 nt
Filed under: uncultured bacterium
Lineage: Bacteria
Description: partial 16S ribosomal RNA
Rfam family: Bacterial small subunit ribosomal RNA
Source: RNAcentral